Molecule: ribosomal RNA, 492 nt
Filed under: uncultured bacterium
Lineage: Bacteria
Description: partial 16S ribosomal RNA
Rfam family: Bacterial small subunit ribosomal RNA
Source: RNAcentral
AGUGAACGCUGGCGGUAGGCCUAACACAUGCAAGUCGAACGGCAGCACAGUAAGAGCUUGCUCUUACGGGUGGCGAGUGGCGGACGGGUGAGGAAUACAUCGGAAUCUACUUUUUCGUGGGGGAUAACGUAGGGAAACUUACGCUAAUACCGCAUACGACCUACGGGUGAAAGCAGGGGAUCUUCGGACCUUGCGCGAUUGAAUGAGCCGAUGUCGGAUUAGCUAGUUGGCGGGGUAAAGGCCCACCAAGGCGACGAUCCGUAGCUGGUCUGAGAGGAUGGUCAGCCACACUGGAACUGGGACACGGUCCAGACUCCUAAGGGAGGCAGCAGUGGGGAAUAUUGGACAAUGGGCGCAAGCCUGAUCCAGCCAUACCGCGUGGGUGAAGAAGGCCUUCGGGUUGUAAAGCCCUUUUGUUGGGAAAGAAAAGCAGCAGGUUAAUACCCCGCGGUUCUGACGGUACCCAAAGAAUAAGCACCGGCUAACUUCGUG